UGGUGGAGUGAUUUGUCUGCUUAAUUGCGAUAACGAACGAGACCUUAACCUGCUAAAUAGCCCGUAUUGCUUUGGCAGAACGCUGGCUUCUUAGAGGGACUAUCGGCUCAAGCCGAUGGAAGUUUGAGGCAAUAACA
This 137-nucleotide ribosomal RNA is filed under the name uncultured eukaryote. RNAcentral describes it as "partial 18S ribosomal RNA". It matches the Rfam family "Eukaryotic small subunit ribosomal RNA", at positions 1299 to 1458 of the family's 1831-position model. The record is from RNAcentral.